GAAGAUUCAUCCCUCCCCCGAGGUAGGGACGAAUGUCCGAAUCACUUCAAUUAGUCCAUCUGGGUUCCAGGCACAUCUGAGAUUAAUAUCAGCCAGAACUUGAGCAUCAUUGCCAAGAUGUGAGCUCCUUAGGCUGGCACAUGGACCACAUGAACGGACUUUCUUCUAGUGCUAGGAGGCCAAUCCCCCACAGAGUUCUGACAUAGGAUGCGUUGAUCACAGCGGCCUCUGCCCAGCAAUGUUUACCCAGGAGGCAGCCUGGUAUCAUCACGGAAGGAGUGAAAGAGUUGAAGCUGGAAGAUCUACAGAGAACUGCCAGUUGUUCAUUAUUCCUUCAUUCAUUGAAGACAUUUUUAUAGAGCACCUAUAACAGACAGGAAGACACAGUCCAGAGUCAAUUCCCCUCGGCUCUCAAGGUAACCCUAAUGAAACGUGAGUUUGCCGCGUACCUUUAGAGACUAUGUAAGUGCUACUGUUAACUAGCUCACCAGAUGCCUUAAAGCUGGGUUGUUUUUUUUUUCUAAAUCUCUGAACAUCCACUGUCAACCACAAGAACUGAUGGCUUAAUAUGGGCACUGAGGAGGCUGGAGGUGAGGCUGGGUCAUGGUUGGGGUCAGAACAUGGGAAAUGGGUUCUAGGAGAGCUUUAAGACAGCAUGGGAAUUUCUUAAUAUCAAUAAGGCCUGGCUGGCCCUGGCUCCAGGUGAGUCUGGGAGCCAGUGGCUCUGCUGAGUGACAGCCAAUGAGCCACACUGGGGUAAUUUAUAGAAAAGGGUGACAAGGAAUGACCUUCAGCAUCUUUGUUUAAUAACAUUACCUUCACAAGCUGCAAUCCUUUAGUUUCACAGAUACCAGUGGCAAGACUUGAAUGAAUUUUACCUGAAUUUCUGCUUUAUUUAUUUCCCUGCUAACUUCAUUUCUAAAAUCACCUUUGCUGAAUGACAACUCAAUCAAUUCAAUAACAUGCAAUUUUACACAGUAGGAACCUAUUCCCAGAUCCCCCUUCAUACUUGUAAUUGUCGGCUACUUCCUUGAAUAGCCUGUGUGUUUCAAAGCCAAGUUAUUUUCAUCUCCAGACCCCCGAGGUGGAAUGACACUGUGAGAUGGACACAGUCCUGACCCGAGGCUGAAGAUGCUCUCCUCUUCCCAUUCUUUAUUCACAUGCAUCUCUCGUUCAUCACAGCCUGAGCUGCCAGCUCAUGUUCAAUUUCCCAUCAGAUCAGUUGUGUUAAGGAAUCAUCGGCUUGAUCGGCUUCAUUUUAGAAGCUUUCUGAGAUGCUGGGAUUUUUUACUUUGUUUCACAUGCUUUUGGAAUCUUGCCAAAGUAAAUGAAGGUAAAAUGAACAUGUAUAUUUUGGCUUUAUUUUCCAGGACCAGGUAAAGUGAUGGACAGGAUUGUAUUACUGGAGGAAUUAAGGAGGAGGUGGGCUGCACACAUAUUCUGUCGAUCCACAGAAUCUGUGGGUAAUGAACUGGGAAAAACAAAUCUGCUGAUUGAAAAUUUGAAUCAUUAAUAGCUUUGAAAUCUACAGCUUCUUUUAGAUUUCAAUCUUCUGUGAUUUGCUUGGAGUCCGUGCUGCAGUGGUCUGAGCCACAGGUCAAAUUGUCAGUCACAAUGAGCAGGGUUUGCUCAUGGCCUCUGUUGUUUCAGAGAUUAUAUUAAACGCUUAAAAAAGCUGCAGUAACACUUCCAGGGCUCUGGAGUAGUCAUCACGGUAUAGUACUCCCUGGACUUUCAUUGAUUUAGAAUUUGCAUCUUCCAUUAUUUGCAAAUGACCCUCCAGGUUCUAAAUAUAUUAUAAUUUGUAUUCUUGUUGAAACAUGAAUUAGAAUUGCCCUAGCUGGGUGGGAUGCUGGGGCAUAGCCGUGGAUUACAUUGCUGGUCUAACACUCUGCCCUCUGCCACUCAAAGAAAAAAUGUUUUUCACUCAUUGUAUAUACAUGUUAUGAGGAAAAUGAUGUGAUAUAGUGGUUCUUUGUGAAUUGGGGGGAUUCACAAAGGUAUUGUAAAGAAUUACUCAUGAGUGUCAGGCCGUACUGUCGGUAUAUCUUAUUGUCUUAUUGUAAUGAAACCGAGUAUGGCAAUGCUUUUCUCAUCUGUGGAUGACUUAUCUGGACAUUAAGAAAUAAUUUAUUUUGUAAUGAAUAAGUAAAGAAAAAGCGCUGCUGAGAAGACAAUAUAGAUGUUCCCACAUCUAUCCACACUAAAACUCAUACUCUUAGCUCAAAGGUGAUCUCCUCAAGCCCUCAUCCAGAACUACCCUCUGCCCUUUUUGAUUUAGAUUCGACCUCAGGUGCAAAGAGUUGAAGUUGUCAUCCUAAGAUGCUCAUGGCAUCUACCUGCUCAUUGUGGCUCACAAUGAGCCACAAUGAGUUUAUUUUAGUAUUUUCUGCUUUCAUGCCCAUCUCUAUGCCUGUUAUCUCCUUCAUAUCUAGUAAAUAUGCAACAUGCAUACUCAUGUGUUUAGGAUAUGUUACCGAAAUGUAUGACAUUUAAAUUUAUAUGAUGGUAUUUCGGUAUAUGUCUUUUUUUUUCUUUUUUACUGUUUCCACUCAGCAUAAUUUUUCAGGAUUUAUCCAUGUUGGUGAAUGUGCAUGUGGUUAAUUCUUCCACUGCAUUGUCUUCCAGAGCGUAUGUCCACCAUGGUUUGCUUACAGUCCCAGUUACAGACGCCACUGUUGGCUCAAUGCAUUGCUGCCACAUACAAUGCUAUGAAGUCCAUCUUUUUCUGUGCCCCUGUAUGGUCCUGGAGCCACUGUAAUUUGGGAAAUAUGAAUCUUUUACCCAUCUCUUCAGGACUCCUGAAGACAGAGGUAAGACUUCUGCUUCUAGUGAUCAUGGCUGGAUGAAGCCAGCCUCAGGAUAAUAAACCAGGUAAUUAUCUCCAUCCUUCCUAUGACAGUAAUGGUGUUGAGGCAGGCAAAAAUUCAUCAGAGGCGGCUUUGCAAGCCCCAGGGCCUGAUUGUCAGAAUCCGUCUCUGCAGCAUUACACCAGGGUGGUGUAAUGAUGGCCGAGGGCCACAUUAUGCCUCCAGAGUAAAGAAUUGUGGAGAUGAAAAGGACAAAGACACCUACCAUCCUAGCAUGGUACCAAGUCUGAGUGGAUGGUCUGGAUCAGUAAUUAGAAACACAGCACAAUAAAUAUUGAAAGAAACUUCUGUAAACAUUCUAGAGGACAAUGAAAUUAGAAAUAACAAGCAGAUGGGCUUUUAUUCAAGGCAAAUCAUGCCAGAUGGACGCAGUACCUUUUUUUUUUUUUAUGGAUAAAAGUACAAAGUUGGUGGAUCAAGGGAAAAUGGCAUGUUUGAUGUCAUUUGUUUGAAGAUGGUUAAAGCAUUUGAGUCUUCCAAGAAGUCUGAUUUGCAGAAUUGGUUCAGAAUGCCUGGAAUAGAAGCACAUACCUAACAAAAAAGUUGGAUAAAUGCUGCUAAUUGGGCAAUAGAAAGUACUGGAACACUGGGCUGGCAGGACUGCCUCAGGAGGGGUCUUCCAAGGGACCAUUGAACUUUGGAGACUGAAGCGACCUUAAAGAUUCUCAGUUCCAACCCUCUCAUUUAAGGUUAAGGAAACUCAAUCAAAAGGAGACCAUGACUUCACAAAACGAGGGCUAGAACAAGGGUUACUUGACAAUUAGUUCUGCAGUGUGAGUGCCAGGUCUCCUCUCUACCCAGCAUCUCUCUUAUCUAGGAAAGGCAAUAAAUGUGUUCAAAUACAAAUUCUGAAAGGAUUCUAAAUACAGAGAUGAAAUAAUGGGACCGUGAGCAAACAAAGCCUGAGAUAUAGAUCAUGUCCCCUGAAGAGGGUGGGGCCUCAGAUAAAGUGGAGAUGGUGGUUGAGAGAAAACUGGGAAGCUUCAUGCCAGGCCAUGCUCCCAAGGUCCCUGCAUGGUGUUCAAGCCACUUUCAGUGAUAUUAACUCGUCAUUGCUAGGAAGCAAAUAUUACCCAUUUUGCAGGUGAGAAAAUGACAGAACUCUAGGAGGUUUGGUGACUUUUCCAACUGAGGUCCAACAGCAAGCAUGGAAUCGAGCUAGGAUGAAAGCUCAUGUCCUCUGAUUCUGGUCAGGCUCUUUCUCACCCACAUGUUGCCUUUGGUAAAAUUCUGAUGGAGGCCCACACCUGCCUGCCCUAUUAUCUCUCCAGAAAACUCCCUUCUUCCUCUUCUGGGCCCUUUCUCAACUCAUCUUCCUGCCCUUAUACAGCUCCCCAGAUGCCUGGCCUUCCUGACUUCACUGCAUUCUCCCCAUUCUUCAUCAAAACAUAUCAGUCUCCUUUCCCAUUUCUGCUGAGCUUUGCGCUAAGCCUUCUGUCACCCUAAAAACUAAUUUCCCCCAUUGCCUUUACAGGUGGUGGUUUCACCCCCCUGAGCAUGCUUCCUCAUUUAAAAAAUAAAACACAGCAAUGACGCCUAGAAUAUUGUGACCUACAGGGAUGGAGCACCAUCGAGCCAAUGCCUAAGAAGAAGUAGACACUCUGUAUUUAUGAAGAGGAUCGUGGGCUGGGAACUUUCCUCAAGACCCCUCUCAAUAGUUCUUCCUUUCUUAUGCAGAGUAAUUCAUUCCCCCCAAACCCAUAUCUGAGCACCCCGGCUCUAACCAUUCAACAGAGGACCCUGUGGUUAUCAGGAUCAGUCUUUUGAGUGGGUGGCAGGUUGAAUAGGGAGGGAAUGUUAAUAAGUAAUUUUGUUCCUUUCACACAUAAUGUUUUCCCUGUCAGAGUGUGGAAGAGUUUUUGCAACAGGUAGAUUUUUUUUUUCAAGAAGAGUCAUUGCGAUAAAGGAAAAAAAAAAAGGAAGCCUAGGGGCUUCCCUG
Non-coding RNA from Delphinapterus leucas (beluga whale), 4809 nucleotides. NCBI's taxonomy places the organism in Eukaryota, Metazoa, Chordata, Mammalia, Artiodactyla, Monodontidae. The record is from RefSeq and is a predicted model, not a curated record.